AUUGAACGCUGGCGGCAGGCCUAACACAUGCAAGUCGAGCGGAUGAAGGGAGCUUGCUCCUGGAUUCAGCGGCGGACGGGUGAGUAAUGCCUAGGAAUCUGCCUGGUAGUGGGGGAUAACGUCCGGAAACGGGCGCUAAUACCGCAUACGUCCUGAGGGAGAAAGUGGGGGAUCUUCGGACCUCACGCUAUCAGAUGAGCCUAGGUCGGACUAGCUAGUUGGUGGGGUAAAGGCCUACCAAGGCGACGAUCCGUAACUGGUCUGAGAGGAUGAUCAGUCACACUGGAACUGAGACACGGUCCAGACUCCUACGGGAGGCAGCAGUGGGGAAUAUUGGACAAUGGGCGAAAGCCUGAUCCAGCCAUGCCGCGUGUGUAAAGAAGGUCUUCGGAUUGUAAAGCACUUUAAGUUGGGAGGAAGGGCAGUAAGUUAAUACCUUGCUGUUUUGACGUUACCAACAGAAUAAGCACCGGCUAACUUCGUG
RNAcentral lists this ribosomal RNA (484 nucleotides) under uncultured bacterium. Its description in RNAcentral is "partial 16S ribosomal RNA". It matches the Rfam family "Bacterial small subunit ribosomal RNA", at positions 30 to 507 of the family's 1533-position model. The record is from RNAcentral.